RNAcentral lists this long non-coding RNA (1005 nucleotides) under Parus major (Great Tit). RNAcentral describes it as "lncRNA (ENSPMJG00000002033.1)". The record is from RNAcentral. Lineage: Eukaryota; Metazoa; Chordata; Aves; Passeriformes; Paridae.
AUGUCAAUCAAAAACCUGUCAAAAAACGUCAAUCAGUCCGUGGGUCUGUCCUGGUGUGUCCGUCUGGGGCUGUCUGUGUGUCCAUCCAGGUGUGUCCAGGUGUGUCCGUGUGUCCAGGUGUGUCCGUGGCUCUGUCCAGGUCUGUCCGUGUGUCCGUCCGGGGCUGUCGCUGUCCUGGGGGGGUCUGUCCAUGGGUCUGGCCCUGCUGGACAUCUGUCCGUGUGUCUGUGCUGUGUGUCCGUGUGUCUGUGUGUCCAUCCGUCCGUGUGUCUGUCCCGUGUCUGUGUGUCCGUGUGUCUGUGCCAAGCGUCCGUCUGUCCCGUGUGUCCGUCCCAUGUCCGUGUGUCUGUACCGCGUCCAUCUGUCCGUGUGUCUGCGCCGUGUGUCUGUGUGUCUAUCUGUCCAUGUGUCCAUGUGUCCAUCCCAUCUGUCCGUGUGUCCGUGUGUCUGUGUGUCCAUCUGUCCGUGUGUCCAUGUGUCCAUCCCAUCUGUCCGUGUGUCUGUUCCGACCGUCUGUCUGUCCAUCCCGUGUGUCCGUGUGUCCGCCCUGUGUCCAUCUGUCCACGUGUCUGUGCCCAUGUGUCCGUGUGUCCGUCCCGUGUCCGUGUGUCCGUACCGCGUCCAUCUAUCCGUGCGUCUGCGCCGUGUGUCUGUGUGUCCGUGUGUCCAUCUGUCCGUGUGUCCGUCCUGUCUGUCCAUCCCGUGUGUCCGUGUGUCCGCCCUGUGUCCAUCUGUCCACGCGUCUGUGCUGUGUGCCCGUGUGUCCGUGUGUCCGUCACAUGUCCGUGUGUCCGUGCUGUGUGUCCGUGUGUCCGUCACAGGUCUGUGUGUCUGUCACGUGUCCGUGUGUCCGUGUGUCCAUCGGUUCGUGUGUCUGUCUGUCCAUCCCGUGUCCGUCUGUCCAUCCGUCAUUUCCAGAAGAGCACGUUCCAGAGCAGCAGCCAGCAGGGGUGGGCGCCCAGGGUGAGGAGGGGGCUCAGGUGGGUUCAGGUGGGCUCAGGUGGG